RNAcentral lists this ribosomal RNA (223 nucleotides) under Klebsiella aerogenes. Its description in RNAcentral is "partial 23S ribosomal RNA". It matches the Rfam family "Bacterial large subunit ribosomal RNA", at positions 1 to 232 of the family's 2925-position model. The record is from RNAcentral. RNAcentral also lists the same sequence under 6 other names. Lineage: Bacteria; Pseudomonadati; Pseudomonadota; Gammaproteobacteria; Enterobacterales; Enterobacteriaceae.
GACUAAGCGUACACGGUGGAUGCCCUGGCAGUCAGAGGCGAUGAAGGACGUGCUAAUCUGCGAAAAGCGUCGGUAAGGUGAUAUGAACCGUUAUAACCGGCGAUGUCCGAAUGGGGAAACCCAGUGUGAUUCGUCACACUAUCGUUAACUGAAUACAUAGGUUAACGAGGCGAACCGGGGGAACUGAAACAUCUAAGUACCCCGAGGAAAAGAAAUCAACCGA